GACGAACGCUGGCGGCGUGCUUAACACAUGCAAGUCGAGCGGAAAGGCCCUUCGGGGUACUCGAGCGGCGAACGGGUGAGUAACACGUGAGUAACCUGCCCUUGGCUCUGGGAUAGCUCCGGGAAACCGGAAUUAAUACCGGAUAUGACCUCGGCCGACAUCGGCUGUGGUGGAAAGAUUUAUCGGCCGGGGAUGGGCUCGCGGCCUAUCAGCUAGUUGGUGGGGUAACGGCCUACCAAGGCGACGACGGGUAGCCGGCCUGAGAGGGCGACCGGCCACACUGGGACUGAGACACGGCCCAGACUCCUACGGGAGGCAGCAGUGGGGAAUAUUGCGCAAUGGGCGAAAGCCUGACGCAGCGACGCCGCGUGGGGGA
RNAcentral lists this ribosomal RNA (376 nucleotides) under uncultured bacterium. RNAcentral's name for it is "bacterial SSU rRNA". It matches the Rfam family "Bacterial small subunit ribosomal RNA", at positions 28 to 408 of the family's 1533-position model. The record is from RNAcentral.